AUUGUUGAGAUUUUGGUUGUUAGGGAUGAGAUUAGAGAGUAAUUCAUUGGCCUCCAGUAUCUUCCAGGGUAACGUGUAGCUGCCAAUUUCCUGGUAAGGCCAUCGAUACUCUCAUAUAUAUAUAUAUACAUACAUAGGUUCAUAUAUAUGAUAUAUAUAGUUCGCAAUAUAUACAUAUUUGGUUGUUAUAAUUAGGCACUCAAAAGGAAAAAUUGAGAUGUUCAUCUUCAUGUAGAAAAAUAA
Molecule: unclassified non-coding RNA, 243 nt
Filed under: Hevea brasiliensis (rubber tree)
Lineage: Eukaryota; Viridiplantae; Streptophyta; Magnoliopsida; Malpighiales; Euphorbiaceae
Source: RNAcentral